Long non-coding RNA from Gadus macrocephalus (Pacific cod), 1342 nucleotides. RefSeq lists it as uncharacterized. The transcript is spliced from 3 exons. Lineage: Eukaryota; Metazoa; Chordata; Actinopteri; Gadiformes; Gadidae. The record is from RefSeq and is a predicted model, not a curated record.
CACAACCUGAGCCCUCUUCUACUAUCCACAGCAUUUCAGGCUUCUCCUUAUGCAAAGCUGGCCAGCUAAAGAUGUCAGCAGCCGUUCAUGGUAGCCCUACCUCACACACAUCCCCAGCCAAUAAGGGGGGCUUGUGAGCUAACGUAUCACUAUAACACUAGGACUUGUUCUGAGCGCAUACAUUGCAGGUCUUACAGACUAGCUGCAUCACCAGGGAAGCCUACACCCAUCUCCCUCUCUGAGGUGCAUAGUAUCUUGCCACCAUGUCUGACACUGAGGACCUGGAUCAGAUGGAGGGUAAGUGUAAAAUAUACAAUUUAUAGAAAUUAGUUUAAUUUCUAGCUAUUUAGUUAUAAUAAUUUCAUUAUUAUAUAAGACAGGGCUACAAGGGCUUAAUUUGUAUAUAACCACCAAAGUGUCAGUCCUACAGACUCUAUGGGGAGGAGUCAUCGUUCCUAUUAUAUCUCUGUGGGAUUGACGCUACAAAGCUCUCUAUUUUUACAGUACUUCUUCAUAGGCCUAAACUGUGUGGACCACACCACACUGGCACCAAUGUAAACUAUAGAGAAGCGCAUUGAAAACUGCAAUAAAUGAGAUAAAAUAGACUAUUGACACAAAACUGAGAGAAUAAAAUAUUAACACAUUCAGUGUUUAUUGAAUUGAAUAAAUAUAUAUUAUGAUGCCCUACCAAUGAAAUGAAGCACAGAUCUGGUUCAAGCUUAAACAAUGUCUCCCCUAUGUGGUGAGAUAGAUGAAUAUGCUGUUACAGUGGGGUUAAUAGAUUACAAAAGUGAAAUGCAACAUUUUAUCUACAAGUGAAUGAAGUUCGGUCAAUCUGAAUAAUAGGCAGUGGCUUUAGAUAUCGAUAUCUGAAAGAUAUCGAUAUCUAAAUGUUGAUAAUAAUAACAGCAUCUCAUUCAUGUUUGAAUAAGCAUUUCCAACAUAAUGUGAUGUUCAUGUUUUCUUCCACCACCCAUUUGUUUCUCAAAACAAAAGAAGAGGAAGGUAAACCGUAUUGAUCCAUAUUGCUAUAUUUAUUAUUUUACUAAUUUUUCAUCAAUGCCAAGCCAACAAAAUAAUAUGGCAUGUGUUUGAUCCUACAAGCCUUGACAUUUCAGCUAUUUUUCAAUUUUUUAUUUAUGCUUAUCAAUCUGCUGUAGUCUUUGUAUGACAUGAAAGUAUGAUAUGCCAUAUAUAACAAAACCACCCCUUCUGCAUUGUAGUCUGUAAUAAGAUCACAUAUAUAGUAGAUAAUGACGAUUAUCUAUAUAUAUGUAUAAACAUAUUUUAAGAAAAAAUCCUGUAUGUGCUUUCAUGCUUAAUAAAUCUAUAUCUGAGAAAA